GUCUUUUUGAUUAAUAAUUUAAAGUCUAAUCUGCCCACUGAUAAUAUAUUAAAGGGCUGCAGUAUUUUGACUGUACAAAGGUAGCAUAAUCAUUAGUCUCUUAAUUGGUGACUUGUAUGAAAGAUUUGAUGAAAUAUAUACUGUCUCUAAUUAAUUUAUAAAAUUUAAUUUUUUAGUUAAAAAGCUAAAAUAAAUUUAAAAGACGAGAAGACCCUAUAGAGUUUAAUAUUUAUAUAAAUUGAGAUUUUAUAUAAGAAUUAUAAUUUUAAUAAUAUAUAAAUAUUUUGUUGGGGUGAUAAAAAAAUUAAAAUAACUUUUUUUAUAUUUUUACAUUUAUAAAUGAAUAAAUGAUCCAUAAUUUAUGAUUAUAAGAAAAAAUUACCUUAGGGAUAACAGCGUAAUUUUUUUUUUUAGUUCAAAUAAGAAAAAGAGUUUGCGACCUCGAUGUUGGAUUAAGAUAAAAUUUAAAUGCAAAAGUUUAAAAUUUUUGAUCUGUUCGAUCAUUAAAAUCUUACA
RNAcentral lists this ribosomal RNA (516 nucleotides) under Parnassius simonius. RNAcentral's name for it is "partial 16S ribosomal RNA". The stretch from base 389 to 516 matches the Rfam family "Bacterial large subunit ribosomal RNA", at positions 2473 to 2600 of the family's 2925-position model. The record is from RNAcentral. Lineage: Eukaryota; Metazoa; Arthropoda; Insecta; Lepidoptera; Papilionidae.